Zingiber officinale is the source of this 1827-nucleotide long non-coding RNA. RefSeq lists it as uncharacterized. The transcript has 4 exons. NCBI's taxonomy places the organism in Eukaryota, Viridiplantae, Streptophyta, Magnoliopsida, Zingiberales, Zingiberaceae. The record is from RefSeq and is a predicted model, not a curated record.
AUUAACGCUGGCGCGAUCGUCGCGAACCUGUCUGGGCCACGACAGGCUUCCAUUACGCAACGCAGCGCGGUCGGCCAUGGCGGAGGCCGAUCAGAUCACCCCAUCUAGGGUUUACUCCCUACUGCCCCUGUCACAGUACGAAAACAUACUUGCAUGGUGCACUAGAGGCUUCAUGAAGCCUUCAAAGAUGGCUGUGAAAUUCAAGCUUUCAUUCGCCCACAAAUGAUGGCUGCUUUACUUGCAUUGUGGAAUCUUGGUGGGCUCUAGUUUAACAGGCUUCUGAAGUUCUCAAAAUGCAUCGCAUUCCGUCAACCUGAGCUUUUAGAGACAUAGCAUAGUCCAAAGUUUCAUCUAAUAAGGAGAAGCCAUCCAUGGACUCACCUCCAGGUGAAUGUGGUCAAUGCUACUACAGCUCAGGGUGAUGUAAUAAUGACAGAGAAUUGCCAAUGAAUGUUCAGUUAGACUGCAAGGACAAGUUCAGAUCAGUGGCAGAGGAUUAGCAGUUAUAUUUAGUAAAACACUGUAGCAUUUCUCUUCAAAGCUCAUAUCAAACAAUCUAAGUUAAUAUGAUCUUCUGCAGCAGUGCUGGUACAGAGAAUGAUGUAGCUGAACCAUUUGUGUCCAUUAUUGCGGUCUGAUACAAUACAAUAAUGCCAGUAGACUCACAUGUGAGUUCAUGAUUCCAGAUGUCAUAAAUUUGUCAUCUCUGUCACUCUCUUGCUCCCAUGCAUCUCAUGUUGAAUUAGGGUUCUGUUAUUUCUACUGGUCUUUUUGUUGUGAUAUUUGGGCAAAAUCAUGAGUUGAGGUUUCUGUAAUAUACAGCUUCAUCUUCUCCAUAUCCAGGGAGUAAACCGAUGGUUAGGGCUCAAUUAAUCAGUGAGCAAAGCUUUACAGGGGAUUUAGGUUUCACUAUUUAGAAAACAUUGGGUACUGUUAUAUAAGAAUGUUCAGAAAAAAGUUUGGUGAACGGACCAUCACGCUUCUGUUGAGAUAGUGUUUGUUUCUUUGAGACACCGAAUCCAUCAUCCAUUUUGAUUGACUAAUCAAUUAGAUCGAACUUCACAUGGAUGUGACAUGGAAGAGUUGUUCAAUUUAUGACAAGUUUGUUUGGUGAUGUUUCCAUAGGAUAAUAAAUGUGGUAUUCAUACUGAUUGAUCCUCCAUUACAUAGUUAUCAUAGAGAGGUGACACAAAUCAACUGAUCACAAUGUCUUUCAAGAAACUACAUCUCUUAGUUCAUGUCACAUGGCUUCUCAAUGACAUUAAGCACCAGAAUGAUAUGAGAUAGAGGAAUUCAAUUCUAGCAGCUACUUGAUUUGUCAGAGAUACUCAUACCAAGGGAAUUGUUCUUUUGUAUCUUCAAGGGGGAUACACCAGUUGGUUCCACAACUUGGAUGCUGCAGGAUCAGGAAAACAUGGUGAUGAAUGUGGUGCACUCUUUUCUGCCUCUCUCAGAUGGCUUUGGCAAAAGGAAGAUAUUUCCCACAUGGUAUCCACAUGGGAGCUUCUACUCUUUGGGUCUCCACAUGAUUCCUUCGCUCAUCAUGUUCCCAAGUACAGCUUUUUCACUAUUCAGCUUUAAAAUUUGUGGCUUUCAAUGUUAUUAGUCAUGCUUCUUCUUCGCAUAAUCCUGGUGUCAUGUUACAUAUCAGCUAGAGAACAUCAGUUUCUUAGCGAAUUAAUUACAAGGAAAGACGACAAGUCUUCUCUAUUUAAUGUAAAUAUUAUGAUCAGUCUGGCCAAGUGCACACUAAUUAGCUUAGUUGACAAAUUACUUUCUUCCUCAAAGAUAGGGUUGUAAUCGAACUGAGCCGAAUUUUGAAGUAUU